This 65-nucleotide transfer RNA is filed under the name Rhinebothroides sp. MZUSP 8017. RNAcentral describes it as "tRNA-Val". Lineage: Eukaryota; Metazoa; Platyhelminthes; Cestoda; Rhinebothriidea; Rhinebothriidae. The record is from RNAcentral.
UGCAAUGUAGUUUAUUAAAAAUACUUACUUUACACGUAAGAGUACCCUUUAUUUGGGCUUUGUUA